This 839-nucleotide long non-coding RNA is filed under the name Bos mutus (wild yak). RNAcentral's name for it is "lncRNA (ENSBMUG00000006099.1)". Lineage: Eukaryota; Metazoa; Chordata; Mammalia; Artiodactyla; Bovidae. The record is from RNAcentral.
GGAGGUGUGUGAAAAGGUCUGGUGCAGAAGCCUCACCCAGUGUCAGAGGCACGUCUGAGCUGAGCUCUGUCCACCAGGCCCCGUGGACCUCUGUCGCCACCCCGACUCCAGAAGGCUAUAUACACUGAGCACUUUGGGGCAGUAAGUCAGGCAGGGUGGCUUUGGUAGUUUCAUUCUGCUGGGGGUCUGCCUCGCCUCCCAGCCCACCUCUCCAUCUUCCUCCAGGGUCACCACUGGGCCCCCAGGGGGCUCUCUGGGGCAGACCUCCGCUCCAGGCCACUCGGACACCUUGUCGCCCAAGCCUGCAGGGCUCGCUGCAGCUCCCGGCCUUUGUCCAGCUGGGUUCCCUGGGUCACAAGCUGGACGAGGCAGCCGCCCUCUCACUCAUCACAGGUGGAAACCCAAGUCGGAGCCUGCAGGUUCCUGACCACCCAGCAGUGGGGGCUGGGCUCACCUUCGAUCCUGACUCUUGCCCCAGCACUUUCUGCUCAGGGCUGCCCACUUGGGACUUCUGAUAAAGGAAGAGAAUGAAGGAGGCCGAGGGAGCAGACCCAGCUCUGAGGAAGCAGACACCCAGUGAAUCCUAAAAGGAAUCAACCCUGAUUACUCAUUGGAAGGACUGACUGAUGCUGUAGAUGAAGCUUUGAUACUUUGGCCACCUGGUACAAAGAGCCGACUCAUUGGAAAAGUCCCUGAUGCUGGGAAAGAUUGAAGGCAGGAGGAGAAGGGGAUGACAGAGGACAAGAUGGUUGGAUGUCAUCACUGACUCAAUGGAAAUGAGUUUGAGCAGGCUCUGGGAGCUGGUGAUAAACAGGGAGGCCUGGCGUGCUGCAUUCCAU